AGAGUUUGAUCCUGGCUCAGAACGAACGCUGGCGGCAGGCUUAACACAUGCAAGUCGAACGCACCUUCGGGUGAGUGGCAGACGGGUGAGUAACGCGUGGGAACGUGCCCUUCAGUUCGGAAUAACCCAGGGAAACUUGGGCUAAUACCGGAUACGUGCGAGAGCAGAAAGAUUUAUCGCUGAAGGAUCGGCCCGCGUCUGAUUAGCUAGUUGGUGGGGUAAUGGCCCACCAAGGCGACGAUCAGUAGCUGGUCUGAGAGGAUGAUCAGCCACAUUGGGACUGAGACACGGCCCAAACUCCUACGGGAGGCAGCAGUGGGGAAUAUUGGACAAUGGGCGCAAGCCUGAUCCAGCCAUGCCGCGUGAGUGAUGAAGGCCUUAGGGUUGUAAAGCUCUUUCGUCCGGGACGAUAAUGACGGUACCGGAAGAAGAAGCCCCGGCUAACUUCGUGCCAGCAGCCGCGGUAAUACGAAGGGGGCUAGCGUUGUUCGGAAUCACUGGGCGUAAAGGGCGCGUAGGCGGCCUGAUAAGUCGGGGGUGAAAGCCUGUGGCUCAACCACAGAAUUGCCUUCGAUACUGUCGGGCUUGAGACCGGAAGAGGUAAGUGGAACUGCGAGUGUAGAGGUGAAAUUCGUAGAUAUUCGCAAGAACACCAGUGGCGAAGGCGGCUUACUGGUCCGGUUCUGACGCUGAGGCGCGAAAGCGUGGGGAGCAAACAGGAUUAGAUACCCUAGUAGUCC
This 740-nucleotide ribosomal RNA is filed under the name uncultured bacterium. RNAcentral describes it as "bacterial SSU rRNA". It matches the Rfam family "Bacterial small subunit ribosomal RNA", at positions 8 to 796 of the family's 1533-position model. The record is from RNAcentral.